Molecule: non-coding RNA, 437 nt
Organism: Lolium perenne
Lineage: Eukaryota; Viridiplantae; Streptophyta; Magnoliopsida; Poales; Poaceae
Source: RefSeq, a predicted model, not a curated record
CUACCGACGUUGACCACCGGUAAUCUCCGCAGGAGCUCGACGCCGGCGGUACUCCGGCGACCCCCUGGACGCCUCACCACCACCAUCCGGUUCCCCACGUUCUGCCGCACCCCCGACGCGAACUCUCCCGCCUUGGUUCGCCCUGAGUCGCCAGGUCCAUCCUCGCCAGAUCUUGUCCGCCAUGGACGCUCAGUCCCCGAGCUCCGCCACCUCUGGCUCAAGUUGCAACAGGCCUUUCUUUUGCCACGAACUGAUACAUAGCCCAGUGAUCCAGCGGCUACUGGGCCUCAUCCCGUGUCGUCGCCAGCUUGUUCGCCGCCGAGCGUGCGGCAGGCCGCUAUCCGCUGCUCAGCUUUUGCUUCUUCUCGGAUAGGAUCACGAAGUGGUGAUGUGAGAUACGACGAGUUCUCCGACAAGUUCUUCUGCAGCUUUUCACA